RNAcentral lists this ribosomal RNA (564 nucleotides) under uncultured bacterium. RNAcentral describes it as "bacterial SSU rRNA". It matches the Rfam family "Bacterial small subunit ribosomal RNA", at positions 338 to 916 of the family's 1533-position model. The record is from RNAcentral.
CCUACGGGAGGCAGCAGUGGGGAAUCUUGCGCAAUGGGCGAAAGCCUGACGCAGCAACGCCGCGUGCGGGAUGAAGGCCUUCGGGCUGUAAACCGCUUUCAGCAGGAACGAAAAUGACGGUACCUGCAGAAGAAGGAGCGGCCAACUACGUGCCAGCAGCCGCGGUGACACGUAGGCUCCAAGCGUUGUCCGGAUUUAUUGGGCGUAAAGAGCUCGUAGGCGGUCUAACAAGUCGGGUGUGAAAACUCUGGGCUCAACCCGGAGACGCCAUCCGAUACUGUUAUGACUUGAGUUCAGGAGGGGAGCGGGGAAUUCCUAGUGUAGCGGUGAAAUGCGCAGAUAUUAGGAGGAACACCGGUGGCGAAGGCGCCGCUCUGGACUGAAACUGACGCUGAGGAGCGAAAGCAUGGGUAGCAAACAGGAUUAGAUACCCUGGUAGUCCAUGCCGUAAACGGUGGGCACUAGGUGUGGGUUUCAACUAACGAAAUCCGCGCCGUCGCUAACGCAUUAAGUGCCCCGCCUGGGGAGUACGGUCGCAAGACUAAAACUCAAAGGAAUUGACGG